UACGGAGGAUCCAAGCGUUAUCCGGAUUUAUUGGGUUUAAAGGGUGCGUAGGCGGUUUAUUAAGUCAGGGGUGAAAGACGGCAGCUUAACUGUCGCAGUGCCUUUGGUACUGAUGAACUUGAAUGUACUAGAAGUAGGCGGAAUGUGACAAGUAGCGGUGAAAUGCAUAGAUAUGUCACAGAACACCGAUUGCGAAGGCAGCUUACUAUGGUAUUAUUGACGCUGAGGCACGAAAGCGUGGGGAUCAAACAGG
Molecule: ribosomal RNA, 253 nt
Filed under: uncultured bacterium
Lineage: Bacteria
Description: partial 16S ribosomal RNA
Rfam family: Bacterial small subunit ribosomal RNA
Source: RNAcentral